This 69-nucleotide transfer RNA is filed under the name Phrynobatrachus keniensis (Kenya river frog). RNAcentral's name for it is "tRNA-Glu". It matches the Rfam family "tRNA". Rfam says of the family: Transfer RNA (tRNA) molecules are approximately 80 nucleotides in length. Their secondary structure includes four short double-helical elements and three loops (D, anti-codon, and T loops). Further hydrogen bonds mediate the characteristic L-shaped molecular structure. tRNAs have two regions of fundamental functional importance: the anti-codon, which is responsible for specific mRNA codon recognition, and the 3' end, to which the tRNAs corresponding amino acid is attached (by aminoacyl-tRNA synthetases). tRNAs cope with the degeneracy of the genetic code in two manners: having more than one tRNA (with a specific anti-codon) for a particular amino acid; and 'wobble' base-pairing, i.e. permitting non-standard base-pairing at the 3rd anti-codon position. The record is from RNAcentral. Lineage: Eukaryota; Metazoa; Chordata; Amphibia; Anura; Phrynobatrachidae.
GUUUCUGUAGUUGAAGUACAACAAUAGUUUUUCAGACUAUUGGUCUGGGUUAAAGUCCCGGCGGAAAUA